Molecule: small nuclear RNA, 164 nt
Organism: Aquila chrysaetos chrysaetos
Lineage: Eukaryota; Metazoa; Chordata; Aves; Accipitriformes; Accipitridae
Gene: U1
Rfam family: U1 spliceosomal RNA
About the family: U1 is a small nuclear RNA (snRNA) component of the spliceosome (involved in pre-mRNA splicing). Its 5' end forms complementary base pairs with the 5' splice junction, thus defining the 5' donor site of an intron.
Source: Ensembl
UGGCUUUCUUGGUGGGUGAGACACCAUCCCCAGGAAGGUGAUUUCCCCAGAGUGAGGCUCAACUUCUGCACUCUGGGUAUGCUGGCUUUUCUGACAUCAUCAAAUGUAGGAAACUCAGCUGCAUGAUCUGUGGCAAAGGUGUACUGUGUCUAUGCUCUCUCCUA